GACGAACGCUGGCGGCGUGCUUAACACAUGCAAGUCGAACGAAGUGGCGAACGGGUGAGUAACGCGUAAACAACCUGCCCUUCAGAGGGGGACAACAGUUGGAAACGACUGCUAAUACUCCCUACUGAAGGAGUGGAUUGAGUCUGUUGAGCUAGUUGGAGGGGUAACGGCCCACCAAGGCGAGGAUCAGUAGCCGGGCUGGGAGGAUGAGCGGCCCCAUUGGGACUGUGACACGGCCCAGACUCCUACGGGAGGCAGCAGUGGGGAAUCUUCCGGAAUGGGCGAAAGUCUGACGUAGCAACGCCGCGUGAGUGAUGACGGCCUUCGGGUUGUGAAGCUCUGUUAAUCGGGACGCGGUACCGGAAUAGAAAGCCACGGCUAACUACGUGCCAGCAGCCGCGGUAAUAC
Molecule: ribosomal RNA, 408 nt
Filed under: uncultured bacterium
Lineage: Bacteria
Description: partial 16S ribosomal RNA
Rfam family: Bacterial small subunit ribosomal RNA
Source: RNAcentral